Molecule: long non-coding RNA, 593 nt
Filed under: Pongo abelii (Sumatran orangutan)
Lineage: Eukaryota; Metazoa; Chordata; Mammalia; Primates; Hominidae
Description: lincRNA
Source: RNAcentral
AGCUCUAUGCUAACUUGUGUGACAUCUGUGCACAAUCCAUCCAGCUGUGAUUAAAUUCCUGGUUUCAGUGUUUGUGUGUGUGUGUCUGUGUGUGUGUGUGUUUCAAUUCAAAAAUUAAAGGCAAAUUCCUGUAGAAAGAGAUACUUGGAAAACGUCUGCAAAUCUAGAAACUCUGGACAUUUUAUAUGAAACAAGCAUCAAAACACUCCAAAAGGUAGAGACAAGGCAGAAUUGCUGGGGAACUUGAGACCAAAGGAACAACACAUUAGUCAGUCUGAUAUCCACCACCCAGUUCUCUAGGUGGAAGAAUAAUCAAAGAGACUGGGGGGAAAGAGGAAUUCUCAGGGUUGGCCUUGUGGCCUUCCUACAUGAUGAAGAUGUGAAGGCUGGAUUUGAUAAUGAAGAGUCUUCUUUGUGUUCUCUCAUUAUUUAUGCCACAUCUGCCUUUCAGCAUUUGUGUCAAUGAGUCACUGUAAUUACAGCCGUUGGAUAAUUUCUCCCGUUUUACAACACAAACCCGACUGUGUGAGUGCUCCACCAGAGAAAAACAUUUAUUUCCUUGCAGCACCAUCAGGCAGCAAGGUCCAGCUUUC